UACGUAGGGUGCAAGCGUUGUCCGGAAUCAUUGGGCGUAAAGCGCGUGUGGGCGGCUUGGUAAGUCAGCUGUGAAAGCCCAGGGCUCAACCCUGGGAUGCCGGUUGAUACUGCCAAGCUCGAGUCCGGAAGAGGAGUGUGGAAUUCCUGGUGUAGCGGUGAAAUGCGCAGAUAUCAGGAGGAACACCAAUGGCGAAGGCAGCACUCUGGGACGUGACUGACGCUGAGACGCGAAAGCGUGGGGAGCAAACAGG
This 253-nucleotide ribosomal RNA is filed under the name uncultured bacterium. RNAcentral describes it as "partial 16S ribosomal RNA". It matches the Rfam family "Bacterial small subunit ribosomal RNA", at positions 524 to 776 of the family's 1533-position model. The record is from RNAcentral.